Molecule: long non-coding RNA, 2093 nt
Organism: Mytilus californianus (California mussel)
Lineage: Eukaryota; Metazoa; Mollusca; Bivalvia; Mytilida; Mytilidae
Exons: 2
Source: RefSeq, a predicted model, not a curated record
AAAUGAUGAACGAAUAAUCUCUCGUUAGAUCGAGAAUGAAUAGGAAAAUAUUUACUUUACACACAUAAAAUAAGUACUUGUUACAAUCAUCCAACCGCAUCUUUGUUAUAAUGACCCGUUUUAACCUUAUUGAUGAAUUCGUUUUUAAAAAAUGUUAUGCACUGAUACGGAUCCUUAAAUCUGUCAAAAUGUAACUAACGUAAAACUUACAUGAAAUAUUUAUUACAAGAAUUUUAACGUUAAUGGCAUGUGCAAUGAUUAUGUAUCUAAAAUUUUAGUAAUUUAUUCAAACUAAUUUCAUUUCAGCUUAUAGAAAAACAUUUAAAUCGGCAUCUUUAUGAAAACAACUGUAUACCCAUACCAUAAUAGUAAAGAAUGAUUUUUUUAAAUUAUGGUGUAAACUCGAACACUUUCUGUGUAUAUCAUAUUGUUUUCCCAAGUAUUUGAUCAAUGCUGUAUAUAAAAAGAGAGAUGUGGUAUGAUUGUCAAUGAGACGUGUAUCUACUAAAUCCACAUGAAAUGGAUGUUGACAACUAUUGGUAAUAAUACGGCUUUUGAUUAUAAGCAAUUUCCAUACCGUUAAGUCAAGGCUAAACGCCCGUACAUAAAAAAUACAUGUUGAUUUAUAUUUUUCUAUUAUCUUUCAAUAUAAAUAUAGGCAACAUUAGUUUACCAAUUUUCAAAACUUAUAAAUCGAUUAAGAAGACAACUCAAAAUCACAAACAAUAACUGAGGCAAUCGUAGGAACUCCAAACGUAGCCAGCCAUAUUCAAAACAUAUUUUCAAAAAUUGUAUACCUCUAACAAAUCAUCAUGCCGUUUCUGUAUAUUUCAUAAAAUCUUAAAGGUAUCAAAUGUGACCACGUCUGACAAAAUGGGCCCAGAUGCGGUAACACGUAAUUUUGGCUAUGACGUUGCAAAGUUAACGUUGACGAGCACCUGCAAAAAAUUUGUUCGCUGCCUAAAAACAAUAUUAUUUCCCUUAUGAUAGCACAUGCACAGCUUACCAUGCGUGCGUAUUUCGUAAUUGUCUUUAUAUAUCAAAGUCCGCAAUAUUCAUUUUAACACGAUUCCGUAUUUUAGCCUGUUCAUAUUAUAAGUUACUUCCCUUACCGAAAACGUAGGUUGACAAAGUGAAAAAGUUUGAAGCUAGUUCUGUUUCAUUUUGCUAAAGUAUCCCAUCGGAACUAACAGAUAAACAUGAUGAGAGUUUAUUGUGGAGCUGCGGAUUGUUGAUGAAAUAUAUUGUGCCCAUAUAGACAGUUCUCAACGUGAUAAUCUAACAUAUGAUGUUGGCGCUGUUUAAAAACAUGUGAAUCUGAUGAAUCCGAGUCAAUGCAGGAUGAUCUUUUUAUACAAAUAAAUGAAGAAAAUCGGGAAUAUAUGAAACAUAUGCCGCAGAAGUGAAAUACAAAAGUGUUGGUUUACGCUCUUUCUAACGAUUUCCAAACAUUGUAGUGUCAAAAUCAUGUACUGAAAACCUGAUUUUCAUGAUAAAUACAGUACACAUGUAGAUGUUCAGCUACGAACAUAAUAAAGGGACUAAUGCUCUUCCGGCAAAGAUAACUAUACCAAUCUCCCAGGUGACAGCCAAGAUACAGAUUGCAGAUAGUGUCAUCAAGUCCAGAAGGAAUAGCCAUAACAUUGCCUAGUUAGUCAAGGAUAUGGAGAAACCCUCAUAUAUUAAAAUUGGAAGCAAUACCUUCAGCAAUAUUUUAACACUGCAGCAUAUAUAAAGCACAUAUCACCACUUUAUUGGUGAUUCAUCAAAACAUAGAUGUAUAACUUCAUACUAACAUGUAAAGAAGCAUGUGAUUCAUAACCAGCUAUCAUAAAUCUGUUUAUAAAGAAGAAUACUCUAAUAUCACCAUCUAUUAUGCCAAACACCUUAACACACAAAGGAUUAAAUGCAGCAAGACCGUGGUAUCUCUAUGAACAGACAGAAUAUUGCUUUAAUGAAACUAAUAAUGACAUAGUCUGUCCAAAGCUAACCAUUGCUAUUACUGAGGUUGACUUGACCGAUGAAGGAGAAUCCAAUAAAGAUCAAUGUCCAUCAAGAACGGAGCUUUUUAUGAAAUAAAAUACCAAAGUUUG